AAAAUAGCCUGCAUUCAGGACAUGCUGGGAUUAGCCACAGAGGGAAUCCUAGACAUUUAAAAACUGUAAGAGACCUGUCUUAAGAAAGAUGGAGGUGGCCCCCAUCUUCCUUCCACGUGCUGCUCUGCCAAGGUACAGGACAUCCCAGUCUUGCUGUAUUCUGCCAGAGAAUUACAGCGGAAAGGAAUUUGUACACUACAACAGAAGCUGAAAAGAAAGAAAUCAUCUGUGUUUUCUCAUUCUGAUCAACAUCUCCAAGCUUGGGCUCAGUCUGCCAAUAUCUCCUGCCUCAUGAGUGAUAGCACUGCAGAGUGGAAUGGAUCACAUUCAAAAAGCUGGUCUGUACAAGCGUUUUAAGGUAAUUUGGCCAACAAAAGCUGCUGCUCAAGAACAUUUGAGAAACACCAUCUCAGAUUGAUGUGCCUUGCCAGAUGUGCUCAGCAAAUGACUUUCCCUGGUGCUGUUUUAAAAGUCUUUAGUAGAGUUGUGCAAUUCACACUAAUUCUGAAGAAGUCUCUUGGAACAUGCCAAAGAUAAAGAGUGCAUUUUCCAGACUGCAACAUUUUCCAGGUAAUUUGGGUUAUAAGAAAACAGUUACCUGAUCACCUCCAAUCUGAGUUCAAACAGAAUAUGGUACACCAGAUCUUAAAAUGGGACAGCUUUGUGUGGUAUGAUAAAUGACUUUACAGAUGCAUGGAAAUUCAAAAUUUAAAUCCAUUUUUCAAGCAUGUUGGAGAGAGUAGUGAAAAAUAGCUUUACACCCCACUCAUCAAGGUUAUGGCAUACACUUAUGUAAAGUGUGAUUUAUCUGCUGUCUUGCAUAUAUUCCUUUGGGGCCUGAGAUCCAGGUUUAAGAGAGAGGAGAGCUGAAAUGUUGUUGUCUGAGAGAGUGUUCUAUUUUUUGAAAUGCGAUAUAUAUAGCAGAUUUCAGCUGUAAAUAUGUAACAAUAGCAACAACACUUGAGCUGUUCACACCAUUGUGGAAAACAGAAAACUUCUGCCAUUUAUCACUCAGCUUGAACCAAUACUUUUACAUUUCAGAGUCUUGGUUCGGAGCAAGCCUUUUCUGGCUUUAAUUUUCAAAGAUUUUAUUUUAUUUCUGAUCAAAGCGAUACAAAAUGAGCCACACUGAACUUAGCCAAUGUAUCACUACUAAAACUGGUUUCCAGAUAGCUCAUUUUCAUUUUCUGUAAAUCAAAUUACAAUGGUUAGUCUUAUUGUGUGGUUUGCAUGAUUGCAAGAGAAUUUAAAAGCAAACUUCAACACUCAGCAAAUUCAUGGAAAUCCAAUGACAAACUUACUGAGCUAAAUGCAGCUAGAGAAUGUUGAACAUGGGAGACUUCAGUCUAACACAGCAU
RNAcentral lists this long non-coding RNA (1358 nucleotides) under Anser brachyrhynchus (Pink-footed goose). RNAcentral's name for it is "lncRNA (ENSABRG00000019881.1)". Lineage: Eukaryota; Metazoa; Chordata; Aves; Anseriformes; Anatidae. The record is from RNAcentral.